Molecule: ribosomal RNA, 806 nt
Filed under: uncultured bacterium
Lineage: Bacteria
Description: bacterial SSU rRNA
Rfam family: Bacterial small subunit ribosomal RNA
Source: RNAcentral
AGUCGAACGGAGUUUACAGGCAGAAGUUUUCGGAUGGAAGCUUGUAAACUUAGUGGCGGACGGGUGAGUAACACGUGAGCAACCUGCCUAUCAGAGGGGGAUAACGAUUGGAAACGAUCGCUAAUACCGCAUGACAUAGCGGAACCGCAUGGUUCUGUUAUCAAAGAUUUAUCGCUGAUAGAUGGGCUCGCGUCCGAUUAGAUAGUUGGUGGGGUAACGGCCUACCAAGUCGACGAUCGGUAGCCGGACUGAGAGGUCGAACGGCCACAUUGGGACUGAGACACGGCCCAGACUCCUACGGGAGGCAGCAGUGGGGGAUAUUGCACAAUGGGGGAAACCCUGAUGCAGCGACGCCGCGUGAGGGAAGACGGUCCUCUGGAUUGUAAACCUCUGUCUUCGGGGACGAAACGAGACGGUACCCGAGGAGGAAGCCACGGCUAACUACGUGCCAGCAGCCGCGGUAAUACGUAGGUGGCAAGCGUUGUCCGGAAUUACUGGGUGUAAAGGGAGCGUAGGCGGGCAGGCAAGUCAGGCGUGAAAUAUAUCGGCUCAACCGGUAACGGCGCUUGAAACUGCAGGUCUUGAGUGAAGUAGAGGUUGGCGGAAUUCCUAGUGUAGCGGUGAAAUGCGUAGAUAUUAGGAGGAACACCAGUGGCGAAGGCGGCCAACUGGGCUUUUACUGACGCUGAGGCUCGAAAGUGUGGGGAGCAAACAGGAUUAGAUACCCUGGUAGUCCACACCGUAAACGAUGAUUACUAGGUGUGGGGGGACUGACCCCUUCCGUGCCGGAGUUAACACAAUAAGUA